UACAGAGGGUGCGAGCGUUAAUCGGAGUUACUGGGCGUAAAGGGCGCGUAGGCGGUUGUAUGAGAGUGAUGUGAAAGCCCUGGGCUUAACCUGGGAAGUGCAUCGCUGACUAUACAACUGGAGUCUAUGAGAGGGUGGCGGAAUUUCCGGUGUAGCGGUGAAAUGCGUAGAGAUCGGAAGGAACGUCGAUGGCGAAGGCAGCCACCUGGCAUAAGACUGACGCUGAGGCGCGAGAGCGUGGGGAGCGAACAGG
This 253-nucleotide ribosomal RNA is filed under the name uncultured prokaryote. Its description in RNAcentral is "partial 16S ribosomal RNA". It matches the Rfam family "Bacterial small subunit ribosomal RNA", at positions 524 to 776 of the family's 1533-position model. The record is from RNAcentral. RNAcentral also lists the same sequence under 1 other name.